Molecule: non-coding RNA, 232 nt
Organism: Vicugna pacos (alpaca)
Lineage: Eukaryota; Metazoa; Chordata; Mammalia; Artiodactyla; Camelidae
Source: RefSeq, a predicted model, not a curated record
AAUAAAGGGAUCAAAACAAAAAAAAAGAUAUUAGACUCAUUAACAUAUAUGCACCCAAUAUAGGAACACCUAAAUAUAUAAAACAAAUACUAACAGACAUUAAGAGAGAAAUUGAUGAGAGCACAAUAAUAGUAGGACACUUCAACACCUCACUAACAUCAUUGGACAGAUCUUCCAGACAGAAAAUCAAUAAGGAAACAGAGAUACUAAAUGACACAAUAGAAUAGUUGGA